RNAcentral lists this ribosomal RNA (387 nucleotides) under uncultured bacterium. Its description in RNAcentral is "bacterial SSU rRNA". It matches the Rfam family "Bacterial small subunit ribosomal RNA", at positions 28 to 417 of the family's 1533-position model. The record is from RNAcentral.
GAUGAACGCUGGCGGAAUGCUUUACACAUGCAAGUCGAACGGCAGCACGGGGGCAACCCUGGUGGCGAGUGGCGAACGGGUGAGUAAUACAUCGGAACGUGCCCAGUCGUGGGGGAUAACGUAGCGAAAGCUACGCUAAUACCGCAUACGAUCUCUGGAUGAAAGCGGGGGACCGCAAGGCCUCGCGCGAUUGGAGCGGCCGAUGGCAGAUUAGGUAGUUGGUGGGGUAAAGGCUCACCAAGCCGACGAUCUGUAGCUGGUCUGAGAGGACGACCAGCCACACUGGGACUGAGACACGGCCCAGACUCCUACGGGAGGCAGCAGUGGGGAAUUUUGGACAAUGGGCGAAAGCCUGAUCCAGCCAUUCCGCGUGCAGGAUGAAGGCCU